Molecule: non-coding RNA, 5128 nt
Organism: Phoenix dactylifera (date palm)
Lineage: Eukaryota; Viridiplantae; Streptophyta; Magnoliopsida; Arecales; Arecaceae
Source: RefSeq, a predicted model, not a curated record
CAAAAGGUAAAUUGUUCUUUUUUUUCAUUUGACCAGCAUAAUGAGAAAUUAUGUGAUGCUGAUAAUAGUUAAGAACUCUUUUGCAAUGAACAGAAAAUGUAAGUGAGAAAGCCAUGGCCAAAAGGGCCUAUCAUACCUUUGUGUAUUCUAAAACAAAAGUAGUUCAGCUUUGAAAAGAAAGGAAUAGCAAAUAACCACAAGUUUAUGAAAAGGAAAGAUUGGACAAAGGCAGAUGCCAAUAUGUUCGCUGGACAUUUUACAAGUAGAGAUGUCUUGGCUGCUAAGUUAUUUUUUAUCCUUGGGCUAAUGAUUUGGAAGUAUGAUUACUAAGUGGUCAAUUGAAGUAUAAAUCUAUGCAUUCAUAACUUUAGGAAAAGUUCUUGGAAGCAAGGAUGCUCCAUUUAUAUCAACCAGGAGAAAGGAUACAGGUCCAUACCGCUCUGCACCAGCCAGUACAUACCCUACCAGAUAUAAGCUUGUAUGAUAGGGGCCUGUAUGCACCAGUAUUACGCAAAUCAGGGAUACAUUAUGUCUUAUAAAGGCAUAAGACCAAUAUAGCACACGGUACUCUUUUUUUUUUCUUGCUCAUAUGUACUGAGAUGUAUCAAGGCGUACUGCACCUGCACUGCCUGUAUCAAGGGUCUUACCACACCAACCAGCUAUUGAUGCAGUACCAAUCCUCAAAGUUUAAAGCCUUGCAACAUCAUGCACCACACAUUGCACAAAUCUCAUGUUGGAUAAUGCUAGGAAUGUUGCACAAAUAUAUUGAACUCUGGAAAGUCAAUUGAAUGAACAAAAAAACUUAUCUAUCAUCAUUCCGGUGUAGUAAAUAUGAGAAAGUCUGCAAAGAAAUAUGAUUGACUGGACUGGGUAUAACUCCAAUGACAUUAGUCAUAAUAUCAUGAUGCAUCCACAAUCUAAAGAAUGAUUUGAGAAGAGUGUUCACUUUCAAAAAGUGGUUGACAAGUAGAUGGACAAAGGACAAGUAGAUGGACAAAGGACGCAAAGGGCAAACCAGGUCAGCAUUUACUACAAUGCACUUAAACGUGAUGCACCUUUUUGGUUCUUUGGCUCAUCCAUAUUAAAAUAAAGAAACAGGCUGUGUCAUGUAAACUCAAUUUACAAAUCACUUUAAACUGUUAUACCACCAUCAUGUCAACCAUGGUGCCUAACUAGGCAUAUGAGAUUGAUACUUCAUUCUCAUAAAUAGCACACCUAGUCAGGCCCAAUUCCUUGACUUCUUUUAAAUUGGAUAAGGAUGGAAAAGUCCAUAAGCUAAGCCUCUCCCAAAAGAUGAUCUUUCUUCCCUUUGAAUAGUUCUUUAUCUGUCCCUCUGUGAAGAUACAGUCAUACAGAUAUGUAGGUACUAAAAGUUGGAAUCGCUUUUCUUUUCCCCUCAAAAUAGUAUCAAGUUUUAUCCAAAUAACUAUACAUUUGGCUUUUUAAUCCUUUCAAACAAUUACAGAUCAGCACAUAAACUACCGUACCGGCCCAUACCGGCCCGGUACAUACCGGUCCGGCCCUAGACCGGUACCGGAUCCGCGUGAAAUCCGAUACCGGGUUGUUUUUUUAGCAGAGUACUAGUCGGUACCGGUUCGCACCGGUACGCAAUUUUUUUUUUUAAACAACCACAGCGCCGCGCGCUGUGGUUUUUGACUUCUGUCGCUUUUGAAAUGAAAGGACUGGCCGAGAGCCACUUUUUUAAACUUGAUGGCCGAGACAGCAAGAUUCUGCGCCUCGGCCUUCCUCACUCGUUCGAUUAUAAAAACCGAACGAGAGCAUUCAAACUCCAGAGUUCUUAAAUUCAGUGAGUCUCUGAGGAGUAACCAGAGAAGGGGAUUUGAGAGAUAGCCCACAAAUUCAGGAGGAGGUCCUUCCCAAAAAAAUCCAGCGGAGACUAUUUAAGGUGUGGUUUUUUUGUCCUAUGUUAUUUCAUUAAUUUUGUUAAUAAGUAACUUAAAAAAAAAGUUUAUAAAUUGCUUAAAAAAUAAGAUCAUGUGAAAAUUUACUCCAUUAGCUUAAUUUUUUGAUAUGUUGAAAAUUUAUGAUAGAAAUGGAGCCAUCAAGAAAAACGAACCCUACAAUGCGUGAUGUUGGUUAGUCUUAUGGGCGAAGACUUGGAAGAGAGGAGUAACGGCACCAGUUUUAAUGCAACUUUUGCGACAAGAUUUUCAAGGGAGGAGAGGUAACCAAGUUGAAGCAACACUUAGACGGAAAUUCCGGUGAGGCUGCUACGUGCCCGAAUUGUCCUAGCGAGAUUCGUGUGCUGAUGAGGCAGAAUCUCGUUGAGGUCAAAAAAGCGAAGGAGAGGGCUUCCAAGAAGAGGGCGGAGGUCGAUCGCCGAGCGGCAGAGUCACCUUCCUAUCACUCUAGGGAGCCAAAGGAGGUUGAGGAUCUAGAUGAGGAGGAGGCAGAUAUUCAGGCAACCAUGCAGGCAAGCCUAAAUGAUCAGUGGCAGCAGGAGGAGGUGGCCAGGCAUAGGGCUCGAUUUGGGCCCUCUGCAUACGAGUCGGGUGGCGGUUCUGGAAGCACUAGACAAGAUCCAGAGUUCUUGAGGACAACUUCAGUCAGGGAGGGCGUCGGCAAAGAACGUGGCCGGAUUGCAUCUAUGCUGGGUAGUUUUGGUAGCCGAAAGAAGUCAUUUAGAGAAAUUCACAAGGAGCGACAAUUCAUGAUGUAGAUCUGCAUGUUCUCCCCAGCAGAGAUUCAAGGCAGCAGAGGGUAGACACAAUGUGGAUGAAGGAUAAGAAGAAAACUAUGUGGCGAGCUAUUGGAUCCUGGUUUCACUUCAACCAUAUCCCAGCGAAUGUGGCAGACAAUACAUAUUACAGGUCUGCCAUUGCCGCCAUACAAGCUGCCGGUCCCGGUGUAGUUCCUCCAGGACCGAAGGAUAUCUACGGUGAGCUUCUUGACAACAAUAAGGAGUUGGAGAAUUGAAUUGACUCCUACAAAAGCAAAUGGCCCAUAUAUGGACUAACCAUCAUGUGCGAUGGUUGGACCCAUCAGACCAGGCGAAGCAUCAUCAAUUUUCUGACAUACUAUGAUGCGAAGACCUUCCACAAGUCGGUUGAUGCUUCGGCUUAUGUGCACAACACCGCAUACAUGCUGAAACUUAUGGAGGAUGUGAUUGAUCUGGUAGGAGAGGAGAAUGUCGUGCAGGUCGUCACUGAUAAUGGGCCGCAAUAUAAAGCUGUCGGACAGAUCUUGAUGGAGCGGCGCCCAUAUAUUUUCUGGACCCCAUGUACUGCACAUUAUAUCGAUCUCAUGCUGAUGGACAUUGGAAAGAUCCAUAGAGUGCAGCAAACGGUGGAGGCAGCCCAACGCAUCACCAGAUAUAUUUAUAACCAUAACUGGGUCCUUUCACUGAUGAGAAAGUAUGCGGGGAGAGAGAUUCUGAGACCACAGUUUGCUACCAACUUCAUCGCACUUGAUAGCAUUCUCGAGAAGAGAGGAGCCCUACGUCAGAUGUUUGUCAGUUCCGAGUGGCAUGAUAGUAGAUAUUCUUAUGCCGGCACUGAAGGGAGCAAGAUGAAGACUUGGUGACGAGACAGUCAUUCUGGCAGUGGGCUACUACAAUAGUCAAAGCUAUCAAAUCAUUAUAUGAAGUGCUGCGGGCCGUAGAUAGCAAGAUCUACCCCCAAAUGAAAUUUUUGUAUCACAUGAUGGUCAAGGCAAAGGAUCAGAUUAUGGAGGCAGAUCCAGUGCAUGGCUGGUCGUACAUCAACAUCAUUGAGCGACGGUGGGGAGUGCAAAUGGGUAAGAAAUUACAUCUAGCAGCAUACUACCUAAACCCCCGGUUUCAAUACAGCAUAGAUGGAAUUGGUAUGGAUGAAACACUUCUGGAUGCUUUGUGUAAUGUGAUUUACAAGAUGGAGCAUGAUCCAGAAAAAGCGACCCUAUCUUGAAGAGGUAAUUAUGAUUUAGUAAUUACCAGCAUGUGUAAAUAUACUGGCAUCUUCAAUUAUUAACAUGGUAGAACAUGCUUAUUUUUCACAGAGCAAAUUUGGUGUGGACAUUAGUACUGGACUGAUUAUUUUGCGAGAUCACGGUCGUCGCAGGAGGACGGUCCAGCCACUUUCGUUGUGGUUGGAUUGAUUUAUGUUAUUUUUUUGUUACUUUAUGUUAGUAGGAUUAAUUUGCAUAUUGUCAUUUGAGGACCUUGUUCAGAUUGUUUUCUUUGUAGGAACCUAUCUGUUAUUUUGUGGCCCUAUAUGUAUAUGGGGCAUGCAUUUGUUUUUUUUUAAUGAAAUGAUGCAUGAAAAUUAGUCUUCUUCCUCUUCCUCCUCUCCUCUUUUCUUUUUCUUCCCCUCUUCUUCUCCUCUUUCACUCUGCCUCUCCAUCCCUUACCUCCGUCCUACAUCAGCUUUGGUAUCAGAGCAGGCCCGACUUUGCCUCUGUUGCAGAAGUCAAGGGAUCCAGUUUGUGGACGGACCCCCGCCGAUUCCUUUUCGGCCUUUUCCUCAUCUGCAUUUUGCUGGAGUAAUUGCACUGCGGACGUCGGAUCGUACGGAGGAUUGCUGCACAGCACGCAUUUCGAAGAAGGGGCGUUUCCUUUCUUUCUUGUUUUCUUCUCUUUCCCUCAUCUCAUCUCCCGUGCAGAAAAAAAGAGCAAAGCUCUCCCGUCGGUCGCUUCCCACCCAUCGCCACUCCACCGGUUCCCCCACCACACGCCGUCGUCGCCUCUGUCUCCCACCGCCUCCGUCUCCCUUCCUCUUCCCCUUUCUCUCGGUUCCCGCACAGAAAGGGAAAGCCCCGUCGCCGGCUAUCCCCACAGCGGCUCGGGAGGCAUAUAAGCCGGCCUCUGCGUCGUGUUCCUCUCCAGUCGUCGUCGCGCUUGCACCCGCCGCCGCCGCCGCUUCGCCGCGCCGCCGAUUCGCCAUCGGACGCCACCGUGCCUCCCCGAAAGCUUCGGCCGCAUCUUGCGGCCACCGUCCGUCGCCGGAUCCAGGAGGACGCCGCCGCCGCCCCAGCACGCUUCUCCACCGGCGAACGCCUCCCCGCAACCACCGCCGCGAAAUCAGGCGCGAUCCCUCAAAAUCGUCGGAGGUUGAAGACGAUCUGCUGUGCGGGUAAGGUCUAGACCCGUUAGCCCAUUACCCAUUAACCCGAACAAAUUCAAAAAAAAAAA